Molecule: transfer RNA, 73 nt
Filed under: Dipodomys ordii (Ord's kangaroo rat)
Lineage: Eukaryota; Metazoa; Chordata; Mammalia; Rodentia; Heteromyidae
Rfam family: tRNA
About the family: Transfer RNA (tRNA) molecules are approximately 80 nucleotides in length. Their secondary structure includes four short double-helical elements and three loops (D, anti-codon, and T loops). Further hydrogen bonds mediate the characteristic L-shaped molecular structure. tRNAs have two regions of fundamental functional importance: the anti-codon, which is responsible for specific mRNA codon recognition, and the 3' end, to which the tRNAs corresponding amino acid is attached (by aminoacyl-tRNA synthetases). tRNAs cope with the degeneracy of the genetic code in two manners: having more than one tRNA (with a specific anti-codon) for a particular amino acid; and 'wobble' base-pairing, i.e. permitting non-standard base-pairing at the 3rd anti-codon position.
Source: Rfam by way of RNAcentral
AGAGGUAUGGCUUAAGUGGUAGAUCACCCAGCUUGUAAGUGUGAAGCCCUGAGUUCAAAUCCCAGUAUCACUA